Molecule: ribosomal RNA, 476 nt
Filed under: uncultured bacterium
Lineage: Bacteria
Description: bacterial SSU rRNA
Rfam family: Bacterial small subunit ribosomal RNA
Source: RNAcentral
CGAACGCUGGCGGCGUGCUUAACACAUGCAAGUCGAACGCUGAAGCCCAGCUUGCUGGGUGGAUGAGUGGCGAACGGGUGAGUAACACGUGAGUAACCUGCCCCCUUCUUUGGGAUAACGCCCGGAAACGGGUGCUAAUACUGGAUAUUCACUGGCCUUCGCAUGGGGGUUGGUGGAAAGGUUUUUUCUGGUGGGGGAUGGGCUCGCGGCCUAUCAGCUUGUUGGUGGGGUGAUGGCCUACCAAGGCUUUGACGGGUAGCCGGCCUGAGAGGGUGACCGGUCACAUUGGGACUGAGAUACGGCCCAGACUCCUACGGGAGGCAGCAGUGGGGAAUAUUGCACAAUGGGCGAAAGCCUGAUGCAGCGACGCCGCGUGAGGGAUGACGGCCUUCGGGUUGUAAACCUCUUUCGCUCAUGGUCAAGCCGCAACAGUGGUUGUGGUGAGGGUAGUGGGUAAAGAAGCGCCGGCUAACUAC